This 1306-nucleotide long non-coding RNA is filed under the name Felis catus (domestic cat). Its description in RNAcentral is "lncRNA (ENSFCAG00000048529.1)". The record is from RNAcentral. Lineage: Eukaryota; Metazoa; Chordata; Mammalia; Carnivora; Felidae.
AUGAGGGGUCAGCUUACUACCCUUGAUUUCCUGUGUCAAAACAUAGAAAAGCGUGCUCUGCUAUCCAGACAGGAGAACUGUAUUACUUUAAUCGGGAAGGACCUUUCCCGGUUGCUGUCCCUGGCGGUGUACAAAUGCUUUCUUUUUCAGGGUGAUGUUCUCCACCUAAACAAGCUGAAGACAAGACAGCAAAGGUGCAAAGUCACAGGUAGGGCGAGGAAUCUACUUUUGGACACCUGGCAUCCUUGUCGGCCGGGCCCAGAAAACUCAACCAGUGUGAUUCUGUAUGGGCGGCCCAGAUGCUGAUCCGAAGCCUAUCCAGAAACUGGGAAUCCUUCGCAAUGGUACAAGGCUGAAAAAGCCCUGUGGCAAAGGAACCUGUUUAGUGAGCAAACCUCGAGGUGACUCGGCCGGAGAACACCGGGUGUCCUAAUCCUCAUCCGAGCUGGCUGUAAGCCGUCACUGAGAGCUGAAGUGUCCUCCCUGUAGGCAGAUGAGUUCCUGCUCUGGUGUCAGUGACCCCGCAUCUCAGAGGAGGAGGGCGACAAGGAGAACUUUGCGGAAGGCUUGUGAUCUGUGUUUCCCUCCUUAGGCUCUGCUCCAAAUAGGCUGCAACCACUAGAGACCAAAUGUAAGUCUGGGGAAAGUAGGUUAUCAGGCACAGGACGGAGAUAAUUAGUCUAUUGUGUUCUGCUUACAGCACGAUUCUUUUACCAUGUCGUCCUCCCCAAAUGCUCCGUUUCGUGGAAAUUAGUGUAGUAUUGGCAUAGCAUCUAAUAAUGAAGCCAGGAGAUGGGGAGAAUUCCAGCAAGCGCCUGACCUAAGCAGGUGGACAGAGUCACGCUCCCAAUUCCUUUGUACCCACCACUUGCUUUGCUCAUAUCCCAUUUCUCAUGCUGCUGCUGGUAGUUUAGCUGUCUCAGCCCAAUUUGAGUUAAAAAAAAAAAAAUGUUGGCUAUUCUAAGUGCAGCUCCAGGCAAGUGACAUUUACAACUCGUAGUUUCUUCCCUCCACCCUGUUUUUUUCCAGGGUUUUUUUGGUGUGUGAAACUGUACUUGUUUCCGGAUAGGGCCACGACGUGGCACAUUGCUAGAAGAAAGUAGUGCAGGGAGGAGACCAAACUUUGUGUCUACUCUCUUAGGGUAUCCAGAUGGGCCUGACAAUGAAGUCAAUGGAAGACAGAUUGACAAGAGAAAAAACACAGAUUUCACAUGUGCGCGAGGACCCCCGGAGGAAAGCGCAGACCCGAAGAAGUAGUUGGAACGGAAUGUUCAUAUACUGAGUUGGACAAAGAGUAGUGAGUGGU